This 782-nucleotide ribosomal RNA is filed under the name uncultured Solirubrobacterales bacterium. RNAcentral describes it as "bacterial SSU rRNA". It matches the Rfam family "Bacterial small subunit ribosomal RNA", at positions 8 to 796 of the family's 1533-position model. The record is from RNAcentral. Lineage: Bacteria; Bacillati; Actinomycetota; Thermoleophilia; Solirubrobacterales.
AGAGUUUGAUCAUGGCUCAGGAUAAACGCUGGCGGCGUGCCUAAAACAUGCAAGUCGUACGGGCAGCUUCGGCUGUCAGUGGCGGACGGCUGAGUAACACGUGGGUGACCUGCCUCCGAGCGGGGGAUAACUGCCCGAAAGGGUGGCUAAUACCGCAAAUGUCGUCGAUCCGUUUCGGCGACUGAAUCCGCAAGGGGCUCGGAGAGGGGCCCGCGGCCGAUUAGCUGGUUGGUGGGGUAACGGCCUACCAAGGCGACGAUCCGUAGCUGGUCUGAGAGGAUGAUCAGCCACACUGGGACUGAGACACGGCCCAGACUCCUACGGGAGGCAGCAGUGGGGAAUCUUGCGCAAUGGGCGAAAGCCUGACGCAGCGACGCCGUGUGCGGGAAGAAGGCCUUCGGGUUGUAAACCGCUUUCAGGAGGGACGAAGCCACUCGGGUUAAUAGCCCAGAGGGUGACGGUACCUCCAGAAGAAGCCCCGGCUAACUACGUGCCAGCAGCCGCGGUAAUACGUAGGGGGCUAGCGUUGUCCGGAUUUAUUGGGCGUAAAGAGCGUGUAGGCGGCCAGGUAGGUCCGCUGUGAAAACUCGAGGCUCAACCUCGAGAUGUCGGUGGAAACCAUCUGGCUAGAGUCCGGAAGAGGAGAGUGGAAUUCCCGGUGUAGCGGUGAAAUGCGCAGAUAUCGGGAAGAAUAUCCGUGGCGAAGGCGGCUCUCUGGGACGGUACUGACGCUGAGACGCGAAAGCGUGGGGAGCGAACAGGAUUAGAUACCCCGGUAGUCC